RNAcentral lists this ribosomal RNA (715 nucleotides) under Jappa sp. BCOD-2008. RNAcentral describes it as "eukaryotic LSU rRNA". The stretch from base 442 to 715 matches the Rfam family "Eukaryotic large subunit ribosomal RNA", at positions 665 to 894 of the family's 3401-position model. The record is from RNAcentral. Lineage: Eukaryota; Metazoa; Arthropoda; Insecta; Ephemeroptera; Leptophlebiidae.
UAAAGGUCGAAAGGGGAGAUUCAGUAUCCAUUCCUCGCCGCCGCUCCGCGCCGGAGGUACAACUCGGGGCGGCCCCUUCGGGGGCUGCCCUGGGCCUCCGGCGCGGUCUCGCGCGCGGGAGGUGGAGCGCACUUCUCCCCGAGUAGGACGCCGCGACCCGCUGGGUGUCGGUCUGAGGUCCGGGCGCGAGUCCGUGUCGCGGUUCGCCGCGUCGCGGAGCCCCGGUGUCCCGACCGACUGCUCGGCGGUCGAACGUGAGGAACUGGCCCGCGCUCCUCUUGCGCGCCCGUGCCGCUUGCGAGCGUCUGGCUGAACCCGUCGCGCGGACUCGUCCGCCGCGGGCCUGUCGGCGUUGUCGGCUCGCGGACUUCUCGGGCAGCGGCCUCUCCUGUUUGCGGCGCUCAAAGCUGGGCGGCCCACCCGGCCCGUCUUGAAACACGGACCAAGGAGUCUAACAUGUGCGCGAGUCAUUGGGUCCCUCGAAACCCAAGGGCGCAUUGAACGAGAAGGCCGUCCUCGCGGCGGCCGAGGGAGGAUGGGGAGUCGCUCGCGGCUCCCCCGCAUUCCCGGGGCGUCUCGUCUUACCGGCGCUCGUCGCCGGAAAGUGAGGCGCACCAAGAGCGCACACGUUGGGACCCGAAAGAUGGUGAACUAUGCCUGGCCAGGACGAAGUCAGGGGAAACCCUGAUGGAGGUCCGUAGCGAUUCUGACGUGC